AAUAGAUACCCUGGUAGUCCACGCCGUAAACGAUGAGUGCUAAGUGUUAGGGGGUUUCCGCCCCUUAGUGCUGCAGCUAACGCAUUAAGCACUCCGCCUGGGGAGUACGGCCGCAAGGCUGAAACUCAAAGGAAUUGACGGGGGCCCGCACAAGCGGUGGAGCAUGUGGUUUAAUUCGAAGCAACGCGAAGAACCUUACCAGGUCUUGACAUCUCCUGACCGCCCUGGAGACAGGGUCUUCCCUUCGGGGACAGGAUGACAGGUGGUGCAUGGUUGUCGUCAGCUCGUGUCGUGAGAUGUUGGGUUAAGUCCCGCAACGAGCGCAACCCUUGUCCUUAGUUGCCAGCAUUCAGUUGGGCACUCUAAGGAGACUGCCGGCUAAAAGUCGGAGGAAGGUGGGGAUGACGUCAAAUCAUCAUGCCCCUUAUGACCUGGGCUACACACGUGCUACAAUGGGCGGUACAGAGGGUCGCGAACCCGCGAGGGGGAGCCAAUCCCAAAAAACCGCUCUCAGUUCGGAUUGCAGG
This 527-nucleotide ribosomal RNA is filed under the name uncultured bacterium. Its description in RNAcentral is "bacterial SSU rRNA". It matches the Rfam family "Bacterial small subunit ribosomal RNA", at positions 777 to 1304 of the family's 1533-position model. The record is from RNAcentral.